This 58-nucleotide transfer RNA is filed under the name Treponema sp. RNAcentral's name for it is "tRNA-Pro". It matches the Rfam family "tRNA", at positions 9 to 63 of the family's 71-position model. From Rfam's summary of the family: Transfer RNA (tRNA) molecules are approximately 80 nucleotides in length. Their secondary structure includes four short double-helical elements and three loops (D, anti-codon, and T loops). Further hydrogen bonds mediate the characteristic L-shaped molecular structure. tRNAs have two regions of fundamental functional importance: the anti-codon, which is responsible for specific mRNA codon recognition, and the 3' end, to which the tRNAs corresponding amino acid is attached (by aminoacyl-tRNA synthetases). tRNAs cope with the degeneracy of the genetic code in two manners: having more than one tRNA (with a specific anti-codon) for a particular amino acid; and 'wobble' base-pairing, i.e. permitting non-standard base-pairing at the 3rd anti-codon position. Lineage: Bacteria; Pseudomonadati; Spirochaetota; Spirochaetia; Treponematales; Treponemataceae. The record is from RNAcentral.
AGCGCAGCUGGUAGCGCAUCUGGUUUGGGACCAGAGGGUCGCAGGUUCAAAUCCUGUC